This 186-nucleotide small RNA is filed under the name Mycobacterium arupense. Its description in RNAcentral is "Magnesium sequence". It matches the Rfam family "M-box riboswitch aptamer (ykoK leader)". Rfam says of the family: M-box riboswitch, also know as ykoK leader is described as a metaloregulatory RNA that sense divalent metals and function as a genetic control element of genes related to divalent metal transport in bacteria. It was first reported upstream of the B.subtilis ykoK gene and genes with related functions in other bacteria. Phylogenetic analysis of the distribution of M-box RNAs across bacterial genomes revealed that M-box riboswitches are most often employed for the regulation of Mg2+ transporter genes Lineage: Bacteria; Bacillati; Actinomycetota; Actinomycetes; Mycobacteriales; Mycobacteriaceae. The record is from RNAcentral.
CAAGCACCUCGUUAGGUGAGGCGUCUACACGGAUAUAGGCCACUGACCCCGAACGUCGAAAGACGCCCCGGGUCAGGACAGCUCCUCCCGGAUUAAGGGUUGAGCCCAAGUGGCUUCCGGCCUGCGAUCUUUGCGCAGGCACGGACACGCCGUGUGGUGCCGAAGCUCUGACGAGAGGGGUGCGAA